This 694-nucleotide ribosomal RNA is filed under the name uncultured archaeon. RNAcentral's name for it is "bacterial SSU rRNA". It matches the Rfam family "Archaeal small subunit ribosomal RNA", at positions 151 to 828 of the family's 1478-position model. The record is from RNAcentral.
UCUCGAUAGGUGAAGAACUCUGGAAUGAGUCCUCGCCUAAAAGACGCUAAGGUUAUGCUCUUUGGCGUCGCCCAAGGAUGAGGCCGCGACCGAUCAGGUUGUUGGUGAGGUAAUGGCUCACCAAGCCUUUUACCGGUGCGGGCCGUGAGAGCGGGAGCCCGGAGAUGGGCACUGAGACAAGGGCCCAGGCCCUACGGGGCGCAGCAGUCGCGAAAACUUUGCAAUACACGAAAGUGUGACAGGGCUAUCCCGAGUGCCAUCCGCUGAGGAAGGCUUUUACCCAGUCUAGAACGCUGGGGGAAUAAGGAGAGGGCAAGUCUGGUGUCAGCCGCCGCGGUAAUACCAGCUCUCCGAGUGGUGUGGAUGUUUAUUGGGCCUAAAGCAUCCGUAGCUGGCUAAGUUAGUCCCUUGUUAAAUCCACCGAAUUAAUCGUUGGAUUGCGGGGGAUACUGCUUGGCUAGGGGACGAGAGAGGCAGACGGUAUUUCCGGGGUAGGGGUGAAAUCCUAUAAUCCCGGGAAGACCACCAGUGGCGAAGGCUGUCUGCUAGAACGCGCCCGACGGUGAGGGAUGAAAGCUGGGGGAGCGAACCGGAUUAGAUACCCGGGUAGUCCCAGCUGUAAACGAUGCAGGCUAGGUGUUUGGACGGCCACGUGCCGUUCUAGUGCCGCAGGGAAGCUGUUAAGCCUGCCGCC